CCGGCGACCGGCGCACGGGUGCGUAACGCGUAUAGAAUCUGCCUUGUACUAGGGAAUAGCCCAGAGAAAUUUGGAUUAAUGCCCUAUAGUAUAUCGUUAUGGCAUCAUAACGAUAUUAAAGGUUACGGUACAAGAUGACUAUGCGUCCCAUUAGUUAGUUGGUGAGGUAACGGCUCACCAAGACUGCGAUGGGUAGGGGCCCUGAGAGGGGGAUCCCCCACACUGGUACUGAGACACGGACCAGACUCCUACGGGAGGCAGCAGUGAGGAAUAUUGGACAAUGGGCGGGAGCCUGAUCCAGCCAUGCCGCGUGCAGGAAGACGGUCCUAUGGAUUGUAAACUGCUUUUAUACGGGAAGAACCUGGGGCACGUGUGCCCUUCUGACGGUACCGUAAGAAUAAGGAUCGGCUAACUCCGUGCCAGCAGCCGCGGUAAUACGGAGGAUCCAAGCGUUAUCCGGAAUCAUUGGGUUUAAAGGGUCCGUAGGCGGGCCAUUAAGUCAGGGGUGAAAGUUUGCGGCUCAACCGUAAAAUUGCCCUUGAUACUGGUGGUCUUGAGUUAUAGUGAAGUGGCUAGAAUAUGUAGUGUAGCGGUGAAAUGCAUAGAUAUUACAUAGAAUACCGAUUGCGAAGGCAGGUCACUAACUAUACACUGACGCUGAUGGACGAAAGCGUGGGGAGCGAACAGGAUUAGAUACCCUGGUAGUCCACGCCGUAAACGAUGGAUACUAGCUGUUCGGGCGCAAGCCUGAGCGGCCAAGCGAAAGUGAUAAGUAUCCCACCUGGGGAGUACGUUCGCAAGAAUGAAACUCAAAGGAAUUGACG
RNAcentral lists this ribosomal RNA (824 nucleotides) under Arenibacter sp. DSM3. RNAcentral describes it as "bacterial SSU rRNA". It matches the Rfam family "Bacterial small subunit ribosomal RNA", at positions 88 to 915 of the family's 1533-position model. The record is from RNAcentral. Lineage: Bacteria; Pseudomonadati; Bacteroidota; Flavobacteriia; Flavobacteriales; Flavobacteriaceae.